GUUACAUAUUAUGAGAUACAGCCAAAAAAUUCACAUCUUUCAACGACUAAAAUAUAAAUUAUUUUACAGUUGCAAGGAGUGUGGUUCCUGACGUUUGGGGUAGAUUACUGGUCUUGGAAUGUUUUGUGGAAAUGUCAUAUUAUUGCUUUUUUCAACGUAACAGAUAAUAGAAUGAGUCGUGCCUCGUACAAUUUUUUCAAGAAUAAAUCAGAGGCCCCGCUUUCCGUCAUUGACGACGUCAAGCGCGAUUCUCAGGGUCAGUUUUGGAUGGAAGGGCCUAACGAAAACACAUUGGAAAUCUCAGAAACAAAACUGUUUGAAGAGGAAAGAAAACUUGUAUCGAACAUGGAAUAUCCUUCUCAAGGCAAGUAGUCUCGUCACAUCAAAUGAUCACUACGUUUAAAAAAGAAAAAGUUAACACUUUCUUACUUGUUACUUCAGAAGAGGCCUGGUUCUUCUCCCAACCGCACUUUUAUGCGACCGAC
Molecule: non-coding RNA, 485 nt
Organism: Styela clava
Lineage: Eukaryota; Metazoa; Chordata; Ascidiacea; Stolidobranchia; Styelidae
Source: RefSeq, a predicted model, not a curated record